Molecule: small nucleolar RNA, 137 nt
Organism: Tribolium castaneum (red flour beetle)
Lineage: Eukaryota; Metazoa; Arthropoda; Insecta; Coleoptera; Tenebrionidae
Rfam family: Small nucleolar RNA SNORA53
About the family: The snoRNA ACA53 belongs to the H/ACA family of pseudouridylation guide snoRNAs.
Source: Rfam
UGCACGCUCCAUAGAUCCAUCUCUGGUUUUCUAAAGAGAUGCUUGAGUCAUUGGUGUGCUAAAGUACUGUACCUCCAAAAUUUCAAUAAAAAUGGUGCUGAUCAAAUGAUUGCAUUGGACUGGAUUUUGGGGAACAG